AGGAGCUUAGGAUAACAAGACCAAGGGCCUUCAAAGCCCUAAGCAGAAGUUAAACUCUUCUAGCUCCUG
This 69-nucleotide transfer RNA is filed under the name Phrynomantis microps. Its description in RNAcentral is "tRNA-Trp". It matches the Rfam family "tRNA". Rfam says of the family: Transfer RNA (tRNA) molecules are approximately 80 nucleotides in length. Their secondary structure includes four short double-helical elements and three loops (D, anti-codon, and T loops). Lineage: Eukaryota; Metazoa; Chordata; Amphibia; Anura; Microhylidae. The record is from RNAcentral.